Molecule: ribosomal RNA, 406 nt
Filed under: uncultured bacterium
Lineage: Bacteria
Description: partial 16S ribosomal RNA
Rfam family: Bacterial small subunit ribosomal RNA
Source: RNAcentral
AUUGAACGCUGGCGGCAGGCCUAACACAUGCAAGUCGAGCGAGCGGCGGACGGGUGAGUAAUGUCUGGGAAACUGCCUGAUGGAGGGGGAUAACUACUGGAAACGGUAGCUAAUACCGCAUACCAUCAGAUGUGCCCAGGUGGGAUUAGCUGGUAGGUGGGGUAACGGCUCACCUAGGCGACGAUCCAUAGCUGGUCUGAGAGGAUGACCAGCCACACUGGAACUGAGACACGGUACAGACUCCUACAGGAGGCAGCAGUGGGGAAUAUUGCACAAUGGGCGCAAGCCUGAUGCAGCCAUGCCGCGUGUGUGAAGAAGGCCUUCGGGUUGUAAAGUACUUUCAGCGGGGAGGCGUUACCCGCAGAAGAAGCACCGGCUAACUCCGUGCCAGCCGCCGCGGUAAUUC